RNAcentral lists this ribosomal RNA (380 nucleotides) under uncultured eukaryote. RNAcentral's name for it is "SSU rRNA". It matches the Rfam family "Eukaryotic small subunit ribosomal RNA", at positions 587 to 972 of the family's 1831-position model. The record is from RNAcentral.
AGCUCCAAUAGCGUAUAUUAAAGUUGUUGCAGUUAAAAGCUCGUAGUCGGAUUUUGGCAUCACGCCGAACUGUCAGCCGAUUGGUUUGUACGGUUUGGCGGGUGCUCUCCUUCCGGAAGCUCGUUCCCUUCUUAGUUGACGGGUUCGAUGGUUCCGGGUCUUUUACUUUGAAAAAUUAGAGUGUUCAAAGCAGGCCUAUGCUCUGAAUAGGUUAGCAUGGAAUAAUAGAAUAGGACUUUGGUUCUAUUUUGUUGGUUUCUAGGACAUACGCAAUGAUUAAUAGGGACAAUUGGGGGCAUUCGUAUUAACGCGUCAGAGGUGGAAUUCUUAGAUUGCGUUACGACGAACUACUGCGAAAGCAUUUGCCAAGGAUGUUUUCA